GCGGAAGUAGCCAAGCCAGGCCAAAGGCGCCAGACUUAAGGUCUGGAAGCAGUUCGUGGGAUCGAAGCCCACCUUCCGCACCA
RNAcentral lists this transfer RNA (83 nucleotides) under Candidatus Thorarchaeota archaeon. Its description in RNAcentral is "tRNA-Leu". It matches the Rfam family "tRNA". From Rfam's summary of the family: Transfer RNA (tRNA) molecules are approximately 80 nucleotides in length. Their secondary structure includes four short double-helical elements and three loops (D, anti-codon, and T loops). Further hydrogen bonds mediate the characteristic L-shaped molecular structure. tRNAs have two regions of fundamental functional importance: the anti-codon, which is responsible for specific mRNA codon recognition, and the 3' end, to which the tRNAs corresponding amino acid is attached (by aminoacyl-tRNA synthetases). tRNAs cope with the degeneracy of the genetic code in two manners: having more than one tRNA (with a specific anti-codon) for a particular amino acid; and 'wobble' base-pairing, i.e. permitting non-standard base-pairing at the 3rd anti-codon position. The record is from RNAcentral. Lineage: Archaea; Promethearchaeati; Candidatus Thorarchaeota.